Molecule: ribosomal RNA, 228 nt
Filed under: uncultured bacterium
Lineage: Bacteria
Description: partial 16S ribosomal RNA
Rfam family: Bacterial small subunit ribosomal RNA
Source: RNAcentral
UACGUAGGGUGCAGGCGUUAAUCGGAAUUACUGGGCGUAAAGCGUGCGCAGGCGGUCUGCUAAGAGAGGUGUGAAAUCCCCGGGCUUAACCUGGGAACUGCGCUUCUAACUGGCAGGCUUGAGUGUGGCAGAGGGGGGUGGAAUUCCACGUGUAGCAGUGAAAUGCGUAGAGAUGUGGAGGAACACCGAUGGCGAAGGCAGCCCCCUGGGCUAACACGUGACGCUCAU